AACGAACGCUGGCGGCAUGCCUAACACAUGCAAGUCGAACGAGACCUUCGGGUCUAGUGGCGCACGGGUGCGUAACGCGUGGGAACCUGCCCUUAGGUUCGGAAUAACUCCCCGAAAGGGGUGCUAAUACCGGAUAAUGUCUUCGGACCAAAGAUUUAUCGCCUUUGGAUGGGCCCGCGUUGGAUUAGCUAGUUGGUAGGGUAAAAGCCUACCAAGGCGACGAUCCAUAGCUGGUCUGAGAGGAAGAUCAGCCACACUGGGACUGAGACACGGCCCAGACUCCUCCGGGAGGCAGCAGUGGGGAAUAUUGGAACAUGGGCGAAAGCAUGAUCCAGCACUGCCGCGUGAGUGAUGAAGGCCUUAGGGUUGUAAAGCUCUUUUACCCGGGAUGAUAAUGACAGUACCGGGAGAAUAAGCCCCGGCUAACUCCGUG
Molecule: ribosomal RNA, 433 nt
Filed under: uncultured bacterium
Lineage: Bacteria
Description: partial 16S ribosomal RNA
Rfam family: Bacterial small subunit ribosomal RNA
Source: RNAcentral